UGUGUACUCCCUCCAUUCCAAAAUACUUGACUUCCAUUUGUCCAAAAAUGGAUGUACCUAUAUACUAAAACAUGUCUAGAUACAUCUAUAUUUUGACAAAUAGAAGGCAUGUAUUGUGGAACGGAGGGAGUAGAAU
Triticum aestivum (bread wheat) is the source of this 136-nucleotide non-coding RNA. The record is from Rfam. NCBI's taxonomy places the organism in Eukaryota, Viridiplantae, Streptophyta, Magnoliopsida, Poales, Poaceae.